RNAcentral lists this ribosomal RNA (491 nucleotides) under uncultured bacterium. RNAcentral describes it as "bacterial SSU rRNA". It matches the Rfam family "Bacterial small subunit ribosomal RNA", at positions 30 to 509 of the family's 1533-position model. The record is from RNAcentral.
AUUGAACGCUGGCGGCAUGCCUUACACAUGCAAGUCGAACGGUAACAGGGAGCUUGCUCCGCUGACGAGUGGCGAACGGGUGAGUAAUGUAUCGGAACGUACCAUUCAGUGGGGGAUAACGUAGCGAAAGUUACGCUAAUACCGCAUAUUCUGUGAGCAGGAAAGCAGGGGAUCGCAAGACCUUGCGCUGAUUGAGCGGCCGAUAUCAGAUUAGCUAGUUGGUGAGGUAAAGGCUCACCAAGGCGACGAUCUGUAGCGGGUCUGAGAGGAUGAUCCGCCACACUGGAACUGAGACACGGUCCAGACUCCUACGGGAGGCAGCAGUGGGGAAUUUUGGACAAUGGGGGCAACCCUGAUCCAGCCAUGCCGCGUGAGUGAAGAAGGCCUUCGGUUGUAAGACUCUUUCGGUCCGGGAAAAGUACGACAUCAGUUAAUAACCUGGUGUGGAUGAUGGUACCGGAAGUAAGAAGACACCGGCUAACUAACGUGCC